RNAcentral lists this ribosomal RNA (250 nucleotides) under uncultured bacterium. RNAcentral describes it as "partial 16S ribosomal RNA". It matches the Rfam family "Bacterial small subunit ribosomal RNA", at positions 524 to 773 of the family's 1533-position model. The record is from RNAcentral.
CACGAACCCGACGAACGUUAUUCGGAAUUAUUGGGCUUAAAGGGUGCGUAGGCGGUGCGGUAAGUGAGGUGUGAAAGCCCUCGGCUCAACCGAGGAAUUGCGCUUCAUACUGCCGUGCUGGAGGGAGACAGGGGUAAGCGGAACUGAUGGUGGAGCGGUGAAAUGCGUUGAUAUCAUCAGGAACACCGGUGGCGAAAGCGGCUUACUGGGUCUCUUCUGACGCUGAGGCACGAAAGCUAGGGUAGCGAAC